GACGAACGCUGGCGGCGUGCUUAACACAUGCAAGUCGAACGGAAAGGCCCUGCUUUUGUGGGGUGCUCGAGUGGCGAACGGGUGAGUAACACGUGAGUAACCUGCCCUUGACUUUGGGAUAACUUCAGGAAACUGGGGCUAAUCCCGGAUAGGAGCUCCUGCUGCAUGGUGGGGGUUGGAAAGUUUCGGCGGUUGGGGAUGGACUCGCGGCUUAUCAGCUUGUUGGUGGGGUAGUGGCUUACCAAGGCUUUGACGGGUAGCCGGCCUGAGAGGGUGACCGGCCACAUUGGGACUGAGAUACGGCCCAGACUCCUACGGGAGGCAGCAGUGGGGAAUAUUGCACAAUGGGCGGAAGCCUGAUGCAGCAACGCCGCGUGCGGGAUGACGGCCUUCGGGUUGUAAACCGCUUUCGCCUGUGACGGAGCGUGAGUGACGGUAAUGGGUAAAGAAGCACCGGCUAACUACGUG
Molecule: ribosomal RNA, 468 nt
Filed under: uncultured bacterium
Lineage: Bacteria
Description: partial 16S ribosomal RNA
Rfam family: Bacterial small subunit ribosomal RNA
Source: RNAcentral